CAGGAGAAACUGUCCAUUCGGCGGGUUUGUUUCGGGCCUGAGCUGUCCAAAUUGGCGGCGUCGGAUCGUGACAGCCAAACCAUUGCACAUGUAGUUUGAUGGCGAGGCUCUGGUCACCUUGCCAUGCUUCCGAGGCGUCGGCAAUGAUCGUCGCCAACAGAAAUCCAACUUUUCGACUGCAUAGACAACAACUUGAGAGCACAACGGCAACAACUCAGCUUAUGCACUGUUUUGGCCGCAACUGAGGGGAGCAUGGGCUUGAGGAAAUGUCUGGAAAGGCUGUGCUCGUCGACGUGAUGCGGCGAAGGCGAUGAAGUGCUAGAAAGAGAAAACUUGGCCACACAAUAGCUUUUGGGAGCACACUAUCGUUGCAUGAAUCUAUAGACUGUUCCGACAACUCCUUGGAGGUGAGAACGCAAUAAAGAAGGCAGAGGUUUUGCAGUGCUCCACCUACCAGAGGUCGUUGGUGACAGAGAUUGCUGGAGGAAGGAACUUGGCCACGGAGGCUUUCGAGAGCACCACCAGUCCACGACCAGAGCUUGUGUUGAGAGUUUGUGUUGAUGUAACACACUGAAAAUUUGCAAAUUGCAAGGUUCCAGUGUUUGAUCUGUGAUUUGAGUUUUUCAGGUAUUUUGGAGGGUCGUAGACAGUGUUCCGACCCAUGGCUCGUAUCCCGAGAAUCGAGGUUUAAAGCUCAGCGCCAAAGUCCCACAAGUGAGGAAAUUUGGACUGCUCUCGGGUUCCCUCAGCAAGGCUGUGUACCAGUACAUGUUGAUGGUUGUACCAGUACAACAUCAGAUGUGUAACGGUACACAGGGUUGUUUUCUGUCAACCUGAGGCUCGGGUUGCUGUCUGGCUGGCUUUGUACCGGUACACUUUCUCGUGUACCGGUACGCAGUGCAGUUGCAGACUGCACGUUGUUGGAGGGUCUUUUUGAGAUUGUUACAUUUCUAUUUAACCCCCCACAGCCCUUUGGAGAGCUCCUUUGAGCCCUAAUCCGUGGAGAGCUCAGCCUUGGUUUGAGGAGAGGAGUUUUCUAGAGGACCAAACUUCAACCUUAGCUCAUUCCAAGCUUGGAUUGGAGCAUAUUGAGAGGUUAGAUUUGAAGAUCCAUUGAGUUGAUUUGGGCUUUGGACAAGUGUAGCUUGGUUAAAGGGUGCUAGAAGCUUGGGGGGCAACUUCGUUUGAGGAAACGAAAGGGUUCGAAGCGCUUCCGAGCCAUCUGCAUCGGGAGUGGCUAGGGAUCGUGGCAAGGGGUUAGCGGCUAGCUAGGGUCCUACGGAGUUAUUUAGUUGGACCCGAUGUUAUCUUUUUAUUUUGUACUUUAGAAAAGAUGUAUAUGUAUUUGUUUAGAGCCACAUGUUGGAUUCUGGAUUUAGUUGUAUCUCUAUUGUGGAUCCCUUUUGUUAGAACUUUAGCGACUUUAUUAUACUCA
Molecule: long non-coding RNA, 1435 nt
Organism: Ananas comosus (pineapple)
Lineage: Eukaryota; Viridiplantae; Streptophyta; Magnoliopsida; Poales; Bromeliaceae
Exons: 5
Source: RefSeq, a predicted model, not a curated record